This 85-nucleotide transfer RNA is filed under the name Felis catus (domestic cat). It matches the Rfam family "tRNA". From Rfam's summary of the family: Transfer RNA (tRNA) molecules are approximately 80 nucleotides in length. Their secondary structure includes four short double-helical elements and three loops (D, anti-codon, and T loops). Lineage: Eukaryota; Metazoa; Chordata; Mammalia; Carnivora; Felidae. The record is from Rfam by way of RNAcentral.
GCCUGGGUGGCUCAGUCGGUUGAGUGUCUGACUUUGGCUCAGGUUAUGAUCUCACAGUCUGUGGGUUCGAGCCCCACGUCGGGCU